This 97-nucleotide transfer RNA is filed under the name Phycisphaerae bacterium RAS1. Its description in RNAcentral is "tRNA-Pro". The record is from RNAcentral. Lineage: Bacteria; Pseudomonadati; Planctomycetota; Phycisphaerae.
GCGGCGCCUCGUGUGCCGCGGACGUCACCCCGCCGCUUGGCGCGGCGGGUUCGGGCAGACAAGCCGACGGCGGGUUCGGACCUCCCGCGGCGUCGUU